This 119-nucleotide small nuclear RNA is filed under the name Mustela putorius furo (domestic ferret). RNAcentral's name for it is "U4 spliceosomal RNA". It matches the Rfam family "U4 spliceosomal RNA". Rfam says of the family: U4 small nuclear RNA (U4 snRNA) is a component of the major U2-dependent spliceosome. The record is from Rfam by way of RNAcentral. Lineage: Eukaryota; Metazoa; Chordata; Mammalia; Carnivora; Mustelidae.
AGCUUUGCCUAGUGGCAGUAUCGUAGCCAAUGAGGUUUAUCCGAGGCGCGAUUAUUGCUAAAAGAAUAUCUCUCUCCAGAGAAUACGUAAAUAUAAAUUGAUAGAGAUUUGUCUGCAGU